This 143-nucleotide ribosomal RNA is filed under the name uncultured bacterium. RNAcentral describes it as "partial 16S rRNA". It matches the Rfam family "Bacterial small subunit ribosomal RNA", at positions 354 to 511 of the family's 1533-position model. The record is from RNAcentral.
GUGGGGAAUUUUUCCACAAUGGGCGAAAGCCUGACGGAGCAAUGCCGCGUGGAGGUGGAAGGCCUACGGGUCGUCAACUUCUUUUCUCGGAGAAGAAACAAUGACGGUAUCUGAGGAAUAAGCAUCGGCUAACUCUGUGCCAG